CUGAUAUUUAUUACGAUCUUAUCUGUAAAAUUUGUCUGGGGUUCUCAAAAUCUGAAGCAGGCAGAAAUGGCAGAUGAUGGGACAGCAACUUGCAUAGACAUUAUUGUGGCUAUUCUCUUGCCUCCCCUUGGCGUCUUCCUUAGAUAUGGCUGCAAGGUACGUUUUCUUUGCUAGAAUAGAAAGAUUAAUCCGUAUUUAUCAUUAAAUACAUGAUUUUAAGUAUAAAUUUGUCCAGGUUGAAUUUUGGAUCUGUUUGCUGCUGACCAUCUUGGGUUACCUCCCUGGAAUCAUUUAUGCUGUCUACGCCAUCACCAAGAACUGAUCCCAUCCAACAACUGGUAAAUUUUUGACCUACGCACCAACCCUUAGCCAAUAAAAUAUCAGUUUAGUCAUAAAAAUCUUAAUUAUUCCAAAAAUAAUUUGGAGAGCUUCAUCAAAAAAAUAAAAAAAAAAGUUGCCCCAACCUUGAGGUCCCACCGUCCCGUCCCGUCCCUAGAGCUUCAUCAAUCUUAUUGUGGUGGUCCAAGAUCAUGAUAAAUAAUAAUUAUUCUUCCUGAUAUUUUUGACAGGUGAAGAAGAGAUGUGAAGGUUAAGUGUCAUAAAGUUUUUUCCUUUCUUGCUGGAUGGUGUUGAUAGUUUGGUGUUUUAUGAUUUCUUCAGUCCUAUCCUUUUCAUCUGUCUCUGGGCUGAUUAUUGUUAUUAUAUAUUCGUAUAUGUUUGUCAUCGAGUCAUCUUUGUUAAUGUCUUCAUUUGGUUUAUCAUGUAACUUCGAGAAGUAGUAAUUUAUUUAUUGCAAGUGUU
Molecule: long non-coding RNA, 801 nt
Filed under: Olea europaea subsp. europaea
Lineage: Eukaryota; Viridiplantae; Streptophyta; Magnoliopsida; Lamiales; Oleaceae
Source: RNAcentral